AGCAGCUUCCCAGUCCAGAAUUUAAAAACACUCCUGAGAUAGCUUUUCACAGCAAAUCAAAAACUAAAUACACCAAGAAAGCUGUAUCUACAUACUGUUUACUCCCAAAAGCAGCCUGAGCUACAACAGCAAGUGAGCAUAGCACAGUCCUGAGAACACAGAGUGGGCACAGUUUCGAAAAGAGAAGGAAUCCCUGAGAUGAUGAGGAGGGCCGGAGUCAUCCCCGAGGAAGUCACCACAGCCCUGAGGAAUUUGCUGUGGUCACCAGCAGAGCACACUGCCACACCACACCACAGCCUUGCCCUCAUUUUCCAUAGGUUCCAGGCACUUCACAAUGGUGACAUUUGCUGGGCUUGAAUAAAGGGCUCUCAGAGAGCAAGAUGAUAACAUGGAGCACAGCUAGUCUGCCAGGGCACAGAGCCCAAGGAAUGCUCCUUGGGAGGGACCCACAGCCUCCAGUGACCGAGAGAAUUAAAAAAAAAAACCCACAGCAG
Myotis brandtii (Brandt's bat) is the source of this 494-nucleotide long non-coding RNA. RefSeq lists it as uncharacterized. The transcript has 3 exons. NCBI's taxonomy places the organism in Eukaryota, Metazoa, Chordata, Mammalia, Chiroptera, Vespertilionidae. The record is from RefSeq and is a predicted model, not a curated record.